RNAcentral lists this ribosomal RNA (465 nucleotides) under uncultured bacterium. RNAcentral's name for it is "bacterial SSU rRNA". It matches the Rfam family "Bacterial small subunit ribosomal RNA", at positions 28 to 526 of the family's 1533-position model. The record is from RNAcentral.
AACGAACGUUGGCGGCGUGGAUUAGGCAUGCAAGUCGCGGGAAUCCCAGCAAUGGGGGAACCGGCGUAAGGGGCAGUAAUGCGUGGGUACCUACCUUGGGGUCCGGGAUAGCCGUCCGAGAGGGCGGGUAAUACCGGAUGACCUCGAGAGAGCAAAGCUCCGGCGCCCUGAGAGGGGCCCACGUGAUAUUAGCUGGUUGGUGAGGUGACGGCUCACCAAGGCGGAGAUGUCUAGCGGGUGUGAGAGCACGACCCGCGCCACUCGCACUGAGACACUGGCGAGACACCUACGGGUGGCUGCAGUCGAGGAUCUUCGGCAAUGCGCGCAAGCGCGACCGAGCGACGCCGCGUGGGCGAUGAAGGCCUUCGGGUUGUAAAGCCCUGUCGAGGGGGAGAAAAGGGUAAAACUUUGAUCUAUCCCUGGAGGAAGCUCGGGCUAAGUUCGUGCCAGCAGCCGCAGUAACAC